CGCUGCUCACUGCCAGUUUUGCAAACUCAAGCCCUCCUGCUUUAGGGGGAAGAGGCUGCUGCGUUGCUGUCGGCCCCGCCUGGCUUUUGUGAUUUGGAGAAAAAGAGGGAAAAUCACAUUAUUUUUGGUUAUUGUUCUCCGCGAUGUCAGCUUUUGAAACGCUGGGCUGCUGGCUCUGAUGAUCUCUGGCUUCUUCCCUGCAGGCUGUGUUCCCCCUAUUCUUAGCUGGGCCGUUGCUAUGGGUUACGGGAUCAAGGCCGGCUGGCUUCUUUACCUGACAAACAGCCCCCGGCGGAGCUCGGGAGCAUGGAGGGCGCCGGCAACACACAGACUCCCAGGGAGUGGGGGGAGGAGGGAGAAAGCGAGCUGCUGAGCAAGCGCCUUGCACACGCCCGGAGUCAGUGCGGACUUGCAGCUGCAGGAAAAAGUCCAGCCUGUGGGGUGGGGGGAAAGAGUGGAUCAAGGCCCUGAGGGAAACGUCGUUUCAUAGAGGCAAACUCCUGGAUCGCAUCAGCCACGGAGUAUUUAGUAUGUCCGGAUACACACGCCUCAAUCUCUUCUGGGCUUAGCUGGGUUUGUACGAAGAGGUGAAGUCUACUGUCUGAAAGCAGUAGUGGAUUUUGGAGGAUCCUAAAAAUAAAAAACAAACAGAAACCUGAACGGGCUUUUAACAUAAUUUUUUCAAUAUUGUAUUGCUUUUCAAUUACCUGUAAUUUAUGCUCAAAUGCAGUUGUCAGUGCCUUUUAUAUACUAAUGUGAUUGAGCAUAUGUUACCUUUAUUCAAUUAUUUGGAAUUUUAGGUGAGUAAAAACAUGAAGCUAAUAGUUAAGAACAUCUGGUAUAAGAAUAAUUCCAAGGGCAUUUUUUCCCAUUUAACCAUCUGUUACUACCAUGUGGAUCAAUUACUUUUUUUG
Molecule: long non-coding RNA, 914 nt
Organism: Sphaerodactylus townsendi
Lineage: Eukaryota; Metazoa; Chordata; Lepidosauria; Squamata; Sphaerodactylidae
Exons: 2
Source: RefSeq, a predicted model, not a curated record